RNAcentral lists this ribosomal RNA (2902 nucleotides) under Neisseria gonorrhoeae. RNAcentral's name for it is "23S ribosomal RNA". It matches the Rfam family "Bacterial large subunit ribosomal RNA". The record is from RNAcentral. Lineage: Bacteria; Pseudomonadati; Pseudomonadota; Betaproteobacteria; Neisseriales; Neisseriaceae.
AUAGAGUCAAGUGAAUAAGUGCAUCAGGCGGAUGCCUUGGCGAUGAUAGGCGACGAAGGACGUGUAAGCCUGCGAAAAGCGCGGGGGAGCUGGCAAUAAAGCUAUGAUUCCGCGAUGUCCGAAUGGGGAAACCCACUGCAUUCUGUGCAGUAUCCUAAGUUGAAUACAUAGGCUUAGAGAAGCGAACCCGGAGAACUGAACCAUCUAAGUACCCGGAGGAAAAGAAAUCAACCGAGAUUCCGCAAGUAGUGGCGAGCGAACGCGGAGGAAGCCUGUACGUAAUAACUGUCGAGAUAGAAGAACAAGCUGGGAAGCUUGACCAUAGCGGGCGACAGUCCCGUAUUCGAAAUCUCAACAGCGGUACUAAGCGUACGAAAAGUAGGGCGGGACACGUGAAAUCCUGUCUGAAUAUGGGGACCAUCCUCCAAGGCUAAAUACUCAUCAUCGACCGAUAGUGAACCAGUACCGUGAGGGAAAGGCGAAAAGAACCCCGGGAGGGGAGUGAAACAGAACCUGAAACCUGAUGCAUACAAACAGUGGGAGCGCCCUAGUGGUGUGACUGCGUACCUUUUGUAUAAUGGGUCAACGACUUACAUUCAGUAGCGAGCUUAACCGGAUAGGGGAGGCGUAGGGAAACCGAGUCUUAAUAGGGCGAUGAGUUGCUGGGUGUAGACCCGAAACCGAGUGAUCUAUCCAUGGUCAGGUUGAAGGUCUUAGUAAACAGGUACUGGAGGACCGAACCCACGCAUGUUGCAAAAUGCGGGGAUGAGCUGUGGGUAGGGGUGAAAGGCUAAACAAACUCGGAGAUAGCUGGUUCUCCCCGAAAACUAUUUAGGUAGUGCCUCGAGCAAGACACUGAUGGGGGUAAAGCACUGUUAUGGCUAGGGGGUUAUUGCAACUUACCAACCCAUGGCAAACUCAGAAUACCAUCAAGUGGUUCCUCGGGAGACAGACAGCGGGUGCUAACGUCCGUUGUCAAGAGGGAAACAACCCAGACCGCUUACUAAAAGGUCCCAAAUGAUAGAUUAAGUGGUAAACGAAGUGGGAAGGCACAGACAGCCAGGAUGUUGGCUUAGAAGCAGCCAUCAUUUAAAGAAAGCGUAAUAGCUCACUGGUCGAGUCGUCCUGCGCGGAAGAUGUAACGGGGCUCAAAUCUAUAACCGAAGCUGCGGAUGCCGGUUUACCGGCAUGGUAGGGGAGCGUUCUGUAGGCUGAUGAAGGUGCAUUGUAAAGUGUGCUGGAGGUAUCAGAAGUGCGAAUGUUGACAUGAGUAGCGAUAAAGCGGGUGAAAAGCCCGCUCGCCGAAAGCCCAAGGUUUCCUACGCAACGUUCAUCGGCGUAGGGUAAGUCGGCCCCUAAGGCGAGGCAGAAAUGCGUAGUCGAUGGGAAACAGGUUAAUAUUCCUGUACUUGAUUCAAAUGCGAUGUGGGGACGGAGAAGGUUAGGUUGGCAAGCUGUUGGAAUAGCUUGUUUAAGCCGGUAGGUGGAAGACUUAGGCAAAUCCGGGUUUUCUUAACACCGAGAAGUGAUGACGAGUGUCUACGGACACGAAGCAACCGAUACCACGCUUCCAGGAAAAGCCACUAAGCUUCAGUUUGAAUCGAACCGUACCGCAAACCGACACAGGUGGGCAGGAUGAGAAUUCUAAGGCGCUUGAGAGAACUCGGGAGAAGGAACUCGGCAAAUUGAUACCGUAACUUCGGGAGAAGGUAUGCCCUCUAAGGUUAAGGACUUGCUCCGUAAGCCCCGGAGGGUCGCAGAGAAUAGGUGGCUGCGACUGUUUAUUAAAAACACAGCACUCUGCCAACACGAAAGUGGACGUAUAGGGUGUGACGCCUGCCCGGUCUUAGGAAGGUUAAUUGAAGAUGUGCAAGCAUCGGAUCGAAGCCCCGGUAAACGGCGGCCGUAACUAUAACGGUCCUAAGGUAGCGAAAUUCCUUGUCGGGUAAGUUCCGACCCGCACGAAUGGCGUAACGAUGGCCACACUGUCUCCUCCCGAGACUCAGCGAAGUUGAAGUGGUUGUGAAGAUGCAAUCUACCCGCUGCUAGACGGAAAGACCCCGUGAACCUUUACUGUAGCUUUGCAUUGGACUUUGAAGUCACUUGUGUAGGAUAGGUGGGAGGCUUGGAAGCAGAGACGCCAGUCUCUGUGGAGUCGUCCUUGAAAUACCACCCUGGUGUCUUUGAGGUUCUAACCCAGACCCGUCAUCCGGGUCGGGGACCGUGCAUGGUAGGCAGUUUGACUGGGGCGGUCUCCUCCCAAAGCGUAACGGAGGAGUUCGAAGGUUACCUAGGUCCGGUCGGAAAUCGGACUGAUAGUGCAAUGGCAAAAGGUAGCUUAACUGCGAGACCGACAAGUCGGGCAGGUGCGAAAGCAGGACAUAGUGAUCCGGUGGUUCUGUAUGGAAGGGCCAUCGCUCAACGGAUAAAAGGUACUCCGGGGAUAACAGGCUGAUUCCGCCCAAGAGUUCAUAUCGACGGCGGAGUUUUAAGACCUCGAUGUCGGCUCAUCACAUCCUGGGGCUGUAGUCGGUCCAAGGGUAUGGCUGUUCGCCAUUUAAAGUGGUACGUGAGCUGGGUUUAAAACGUCGUGAGACAGUUUGGUCCCUAUCUGCAGUGGGCGUUGGAAGUUUGACGGGGGCUGCUCCUAGUACGAGAGGACCGGAGUGGACGAACCUCUGGUGUACCGGUUGUAACGCCAGUUGCAUAGCCGGGUAGCUAAGUUCGGAAGAGAUAAGCGCUGAAAGCAUCUAAGCGCGAAACUCGCCUGAAGAUGAGACUUCCCUUGCGGUUUAACCGCACUAAAGGGUCGUUCGAGACCAGGACGUUGAUAGGUGGGGUGUGGAAGCGCGGUAACGCGUGAAGCUAACCCAUACUAAUUGCCCGUGAGGCUUGACUCUAU